UAGUAAUAAUAACUGGGCUUAAGCAUUUUGGGUUGUGGUUAGGCCCAACGAGUUAUUAUUGCUAGUGGGCUGGGUCGUUACAUUUGGUAUCAGAGCCGGUUCACCAGCUGGACAUGUGUGGCGAGUCUCGGCUGAGCCAGGGUCUGGAUGACGGGCUAGCGAGAUGAGUCUCACAUCGCCUGGUGAUCUUGGGCUGUGUGUGUGAUUGGAUUGACGAGGACGUCAGGGCCUUAACGGGGGGAGUCUGUGACACCCCAAUAGUCCCACAUCGGAUGGGAAUGGGAUUGUCAUUGGGUUUAUAAGAGACUUAGACAUGCAAGCGGUGAGGUUGAGACGAGACGUGAGACACGUUCGUAGUGGUUGCUAGAGCUUCGGACCCAGUUUGUUGGUUUAGUUCCUAUCCUGUUUACUUUUGUUAUUAAUAGCUUUAAUAUUUCAUGGUUCA
RNAcentral lists this long non-coding RNA (445 nucleotides) under Ananas comosus (pineapple). Its description in RNAcentral is "long non-coding RNA (ACOM_LNC035189)". The record is from RNAcentral. Lineage: Eukaryota; Viridiplantae; Streptophyta; Magnoliopsida; Poales; Bromeliaceae.